Molecule: transfer RNA, 76 nt
Filed under: Acidithiobacillus ferrooxidans
Lineage: Bacteria; Pseudomonadati; Pseudomonadota; Acidithiobacillia; Acidithiobacillales; Acidithiobacillaceae
Also listed under: 17 other names
Description: tRNA-Arg
Rfam family: tRNA
About the family: Transfer RNA (tRNA) molecules are approximately 80 nucleotides in length. Their secondary structure includes four short double-helical elements and three loops (D, anti-codon, and T loops).
Source: RNAcentral
GCCCCGGUAGCUCAGUGGAUAGAGCAACCGCCUCCUAAGCGGUAGGUCGCGCGUUCGAUUCGCGCUCGGGGCACCA